RNAcentral lists this ribosomal RNA (236 nucleotides) under uncultured bacterium. RNAcentral's name for it is "partial 16S ribosomal RNA". It matches the Rfam family "Bacterial small subunit ribosomal RNA", at positions 219 to 454 of the family's 1533-position model. The record is from RNAcentral.
GGACGGAGCGGCCGAUGGCAGAUUAAGUAGUUGGUGGGAUAAAAGCUUACAAGUUCCACUAUCUGUAGCUGGUCUGAGAGGACUACCAGCCGCACUGGGACUGAGACACGGCCCAGACUCCUACGGGAGGCAGCAAUGGGGAAUUUUGGACAAUGGGGGAAAGCCUGAUCCAGCCAUGCCGCGUGCAGGAUGAAGGCCUUCGGGUUGUAAACUGCUUUUGUACGGAACGAAAAGAC